CCCGCCCUUCGCCAGGAUGGUUCCGGAGCCGCGACGCGGCCGAGGACGAAAAGGGAAUGCGACGGACCGACCCAAUCAGGGGGUCUUCAUCGCAGCCGACCCCGCGACUGUAGAGCGGAGAGGAUCUCACCGCCUUCGACGACCCCGCCGCGCGGGGAAAUCGCAAGGAAAAGCCACUGGGAAACCGGGAAGGCGAGGGGAGGGCCGAUGACCCGCGAGCCAGGAGACCUGCCAUCCGCAGACCCGGACC
Aurantimonas sp. Leaf443 is the source of this 250-nucleotide non-coding RNA. Lineage: Bacteria; Pseudomonadati; Pseudomonadota; Alphaproteobacteria; Hyphomicrobiales; Aurantimonadaceae. The record is from Rfam.